Molecule: ribosomal RNA, 478 nt
Filed under: uncultured bacterium
Lineage: Bacteria
Description: partial 16S ribosomal RNA
Rfam family: Bacterial small subunit ribosomal RNA
Source: RNAcentral
GACGAACGCUGGCGGCGUGCUUAACACAUGCAAGUCGAACGGUAAGGCCCUUCGGGGUACACGAGUGGCGAACGGGUGAGUAACACGUGGGUGAUCUGCCCUGCACUUCGGGAUAAGCCUGGGAAACUGGGUCUAAUACCGGAUAGGACCACUGCCUGCAUGGGUGGUGGUGGAAAGCUUUUGCGGUGUGGGAUGGGCCCGCGGCCUAUCAGCUUGUUGGUGGGGUGAUGGCCUACCAAGGCGACGACGGGUAGCCGGCCCGCAAGGGUGACCGGCAAAACUGGGGCUGAGAAACGGCCGAUACUCCUACGGGAGGCAGCAGUGGGGAAUAUUGCACAAUGGGCGCAAGCCUGGUGCAGCGAGGCCGCGUGAGGGAUGACGGCCUUCGGGUUGUAAACCUCUUUCAGCACCGACGAAGCGCAAGUGACGGUAGGUGCAGAAGAAGGACCGGCCAACUACGUGCCAGCCGCCGCCGUAA